Mauremys mutica (yellowpond turtle) is the source of this 287-nucleotide long non-coding RNA. RefSeq lists it as uncharacterized. The record is from RefSeq and is a predicted model, not a curated record. Lineage: Eukaryota; Metazoa; Chordata; Testudines; Geoemydidae. The transcript is spliced from 3 exons.
CCUGUUCCUACCUGCCAUCCUGUUACCAAUUUAAAGAAAGAGAACAUGUGUUCAACAGUUGUUGCAUGGGAGGCAUCAUCAGGCCAAGGAUCAAGAUUCAGAAGAUUAUUUCCUCAAAGCAGUAAGCUGUGACAUCAUGGCAGUCAGAUGUGGGAGAUUUGACACAUCUGAUAUAGGAUGAACAUCAGGCUUGAAGCUUUAGGGAUUUUUAUACAACAACUCCCAAACCACUUUCCUGGUCAGUAUGCAGUAUUUCUUUCCAUUUAGCAAAUAUUCCAUCUUCUCAC